GUUAUCCUGAACUUUUAUUCUGACGGGGUAACGACGCUCCCCUUUUCCUUCCGGUGGGUAGCGUAUAUCAUUCCGGUGGUAACUAGCUAGCAAAGAGGCUAUGUUUUUGAUGCUGCAGAGUGUAGCGUGGGGUACACCGCUCUCUCUCUGGUUGAGCCAUCGUACAGGAAAGCCCUGUCCAUCGGCGGCUGGCGUGGCGUCGGCUGCUGUUCUGGGAUGGUGUGCUGAGCUGGGCAAACUCAAGUGUUACUCUAUCACAGUGUCGCUGGUGAUGUUCUUCCACUUUGUGUCCUGUGUGGUUGACUACUUGCAUGCCGCUUCGAGAGAACCAGAGGUAAUGCCGGCAUUUUCUGUAAGAGUUUCGACGCUUAGCACUUGACUUGUGUAGGGAGUUGUGUGGGGUGGGAGUGGGGGUGCUCCGCAGGUGUGAUGGCGGGACUGGCAGCGUGGUGCCUUUGAUAUCGCGCUGUGGUGUCGUGGUUGCACCUGUGGGAGCGCCCACAUUUCCACAAUACACAACUCCUGUUGAAUCGAGUUAUAAAUGCCGUGCCUAAUGGUAACUUUCUCGUUAAAUGUACAUAGGAGGAGAUGGUGCCUUCGACUACACUGAUGCAGUGUCACUAGAGAAGGGGGGCAUCACUGUUCUUUUCCCAACCUUUUGUUUUGUUUUGUCCUAUUGUGUGAGUGAUUAAUCCUGUGCAACCUUUUCAUUUUGACGUCCAAGACGAAGGGGCUUGUGUAAGUUUCACUCUAACAUCCGAGACGAAGGGGCUCGUGUAAGUUUCUACUUAGUAACCGCCAAGACGGAGCUUGUGUAUAUGAUUAGGGUAUGAACACUUAAGUAUUACUGGGAGACGUAUCUUAAAUCUCAGACUCCUUUUGGAACCUAUACUUGCUGUAGGGGGAGACCAAAGACGUGUGUCUAACAGGCUUGUGUGUGUGUGUGGUGACCAUUACAAAUCUUGCCCUUUUGGCAGUUUUUCUUUUUUACAAUUUGAUUUACUAACUUGUUUGCCGUGAUUUUUGUUAUUUGGUCUACCUCUCGUGCAACUAGCACAUUUGCACAAUUUUGUAGCCUAUAUUGAGAUGACGUGCCUAAGGAUACUGUUAAAGUUCAUAUUCUGAUUUGAUGUUUGACUGAGCCCGUGAGGCAUAUUUCCAGAUACAGAGACUCAUUACGAAAAGAAAGAAAAUAAAAAGAACUCUGAAUUGUAUGACAGUUGUAUCUCUUGUUAUUCAGUAACCUGUUGCGGGGAAAGUCAAAUCAAGUGUUUGAUGGUUGGGUUCUCUCACCCUAACAAAUGAGAGUGGCGUAGUCACUAAACAUCUUAAAAACAUCUAAAAAUAUAAAAAAUAUUACGGUAAAGAGAUAACGCAGGCCACAUUUGGCAGUAGUCGGCAAAGGAUAACUAAGUGGAUACAGCUGUCUACAAUUGUUAGUGGUGGGUUUUGUAUGCAUUUGGUUUUGUUUUGUUGGGAAAAGAACAGUGAUUACCCCCAGCCAGCGGAGGGCCCCACCGACGAGAUCACCGGCAGGGGUGCUGGCAUAGCCGACGGCCAAGCUGCGAGAGAAGCAUGGAAGGACUGUCUGAGUUGAAGCAGAUGGCAGCGCAUCAGCAAGGGCAGCUGCAUGUGCUGUCAAGGUGGCUGGGCAUUUCCCAGCAACCUCAACCUCAACCGGAGUCGCAGGAGGCUAGCUUCACGUGGGAGAGCCAGCAUCUGGGGCACCUGGUGAGAGACCGUGAUGGGCAACGGGUCUCUGUGGGUGCGCAGCGGCAGCCCUCGCCGACAGCCCACUCAGGGGGCAAUGGGCAGGCCUCCAAACGCAGACUGUCAUUUAGUGGACCGGAGAGUAACCGUCCAAGAAGAACGUCCAUGUCGCAUGAGGCUGGCUUCACGUGGGGGAGCCAGCAUCUGGGGCACCCAGUGAGAGACCGUG
This is a long non-coding RNA of Engraulis encrasicolus (European anchovy), 1939 nucleotides long. RefSeq lists it as uncharacterized. The transcript has 3 exons. NCBI's taxonomy places the organism in Eukaryota, Metazoa, Chordata, Actinopteri, Clupeiformes, Engraulidae. The record is from RefSeq and is a predicted model, not a curated record.